RNAcentral lists this ribosomal RNA (253 nucleotides) under uncultured bacterium. Its description in RNAcentral is "partial 16S ribosomal RNA". It matches the Rfam family "Bacterial small subunit ribosomal RNA", at positions 524 to 776 of the family's 1533-position model. The record is from RNAcentral.
GACGGAGUGUGCUAGCGUUGUUCGGAAUCACUGGGCGUAAAGGGCGCGUAGGCGGCCUCAGGUGUCGGAUGUGAAAGCCCGGGGCUCAACCCCGGAGGUGCAUCCGAAACUCUGGGGCUGGAGGUCGGAAGAGGAGGGUGGAAUACCCAGUGUAGAGGUGAAAUUCGUAGAUAUUGGGUGGAACACCGGUGGCGAAAGCGGCUCUCUGGUCCGGACCUGACGCUGAGGCGCGAAAGCGUGGGGAGCAAACAGG